RNAcentral lists this ribosomal RNA (497 nucleotides) under uncultured bacterium. RNAcentral's name for it is "partial 16S ribosomal RNA". It matches the Rfam family "Bacterial small subunit ribosomal RNA", at positions 28 to 507 of the family's 1533-position model. The record is from RNAcentral.
GAUGAACGCUGGCGGCGUGCCUAAUACAUGCAAGUCGAGCGAACAGACGAGGAGCUUGCUCCUCUGACGUUAGCGGCGGACGGGUGAGUAACACGUGGAUAACCUACCUAUAAGACUGGGAUAACUUCGGGAAACCGGAGCUAAUACCGGAUAAUAUAUUGAACCGCAUGGUUCAAUAGUGAAAGACGGUUUUGCUGUCACUUAUAGAUGGAUCCGCGCCGCAUUAGCUAGUUGGUAAGGUAACGGCUUACCAAGGCAACGAUGCGUAGCCGACCUGAGAGGGUGAUCGGCCACACUGGAACUGAGACACGGUCAAGACUCCUACGGGAGGCAGCAGUAGGGAAUCUUCAGCAAUGGGCGAAAGCCUGACGGAGCAAAGCAGCGUGAGUGAUGAAGGUCUUCGGAUCGUAAAACUCUGUUAUUAGGGAAGAACAAAUGUGUAAGUAACUAUGCACGUCUUGACGGUACCUAAUCAGAAAGCCACGGCUAACUACGUG